ACGCACGCUGGCGGCGUGCUUAACACAUGCAAGUCGAACGGAAAGGCCCUGCUUUUGUGGGGUGCUCGCGUGGCGAACGGGUGAGUAACACGUGAGUAACCUGCCCUUGACUUUGGGAUAACUUCAGGAAACUGGGGCUAAUACCGGAUAGGAGCUCCUGCUGCAUGGUGGGGGUUGGAAAGUUUCGGCGGUUGGGGAUGGACUCGCGGCUUAUCAGCUUGUUGGUGGGGUAGUGUCUUACCAAGGCUUUGACGGGUAGCCGGCCUGAGAGGGUGACCGGCCACAUUGGGACUGAGAUACGGCCCAGACUCCUACGGGAGGCAGCAGUGGGGAAUAUUGCACAAUGGGCGGAAGCCUGAUGCAGCAACGCCGCGUGCGGGAUGACGGCCUUCGGGUUGUAAACCGCUUUCGCCUGUGACGAAGCGUGAGUGACGGUAAUGGGUAAAGAAGCACCGGCUAACUACGUG
This 467-nucleotide ribosomal RNA is filed under the name uncultured bacterium. RNAcentral describes it as "partial 16S ribosomal RNA". It matches the Rfam family "Bacterial small subunit ribosomal RNA", at positions 29 to 507 of the family's 1533-position model. The record is from RNAcentral.